ACCCCAAACCGACACAGGUGGUCAGGUAGAGAAGACCAAGGCGCCUGAGAGAACGCGGGGGAAGGAACUAGGCAAAAUGGUGCCGGAACUUCGGGAGAAGGCACGCUGAUAUGUAGGUGAAGUCCCUUGCGGAUGGAGCUGAAAGCAGUCGAAGAUACCAGCUGGCUGCAACUGUUUAUUAAAAACACAGCACUGUGCAAACACGAAAGUGGACGUAUACGGUGUGACGCCUGCCCGGU
RNAcentral lists this ribosomal RNA (239 nucleotides) under Escherichia coli. Its description in RNAcentral is "partial 23S ribosomal RNA". It matches the Rfam family "Bacterial large subunit ribosomal RNA", at positions 1646 to 1867 of the family's 2925-position model. Lineage: Bacteria; Pseudomonadati; Pseudomonadota; Gammaproteobacteria; Enterobacterales; Enterobacteriaceae. The record is from RNAcentral.